Molecule: long non-coding RNA, 1217 nt
Organism: Andrographis paniculata
Lineage: Eukaryota; Viridiplantae; Streptophyta; Magnoliopsida; Lamiales; Acanthaceae
Exons: 6
Source: RefSeq, a predicted model, not a curated record
ACUUUAACAGAAAUGGCGACAAAAUCGCUGUUCUUCCAAACCACGAUUUCUCUGACGCAUCUCCAAUGGCGUAGCAAUGCCAAUGCGCUCUGCCGCCGAACAUUCGCGCGACCUCCUCUUCUUCUACGGCCUCAUCAUACUUGUCUUCUUCCUCCUCCGCAGCACCGUCGUCUUCGUCUUCGUCUUCGUCUUCCUCCUCCUCCUCUGCUCCGACGCCGUCUACGCACUCUAUUCUCUACUACGGGAGCCAGGCCUCUGUGAAAACAGUAACCGAUUUCUCAAUUUCAUUAAUAGAUUUCUGUUCCGUUCUAAUUUGGUGUUUGAAUCAGGUGAGAGUGGUGAUAAGGGGAGAGUGCAAGGUGUGUCGGAUCUAUCGGAAUUGGACGAUUGAUAAUGCGAAGGAGUUAGGGUUGAAAGGUUGGGUUCGGAACCGCCGGGAUGGAUCUGUGGAGGCGUUGUUUUCGGGAGAUGGAGCAGCGGAGCGGAGUAGGAGAGGUCCGCCUGAUGCUAUGGUGACUGGGCAUUUCCGAGCACGGAUGAUCCUGGGAGCGUAAGCCUACUGUGUGAGUGAAUGAAUCAGCGAUUCUGAUCAGGAUCACGAUCAGACGCAGACAGCGCAAGACAACGACGACGACGGCCGGUUUCCGGGAGAGGCAGGACACUAGGUGGCACCAAUCAAGCAGCUUCGAUUUGAUUACAAAUUCCGAUUCUACACGACAAACCAGACUACUGGAUGACGACAGAAGCCUCGAUCCAGAAACAUUUGGCGGAAGGCCACUGGUGUCGAAUAGUGCUGCAGUGCCGAGCAGAAAUCAAAACAAUCCGGCCCCGAGCGCCGUUGCAUCCGAAGACGAUAUUCAGAAACUAGUUGCGAUGGGUUUUGAGAGGACACAGGUGGAAGUCGCAAUAGCAGCUGCCGACGGAGACCUGAAUGUCACGGCGGAAAUACUCAUGACCCAACAGAGUUAGACGAAGAAGGAAUACCUGCCGGAAAAAGAACUCCCGACCGGUUCCCCGGCGGCGCUAUGUUUUUGGGAGGGGCAGUUGUUUGAAGGCAUUUCCAUCUUUGAAAACAAAUUUUUAUAUAUAACUAACAGUUAACCGACGUUGAUGAAUUGUAAUUAUGUAUGUCAAAAUUUGUGAUGUAAAGAAAUUGAAACUAUUUUGUUAUGAGAUUUUAUCAGCCUUCCGAUAUAUAAACUAAUAUUUCUCCAUUC